Molecule: long non-coding RNA, 734 nt
Organism: Thamnophis elegans (Western terrestrial garter snake)
Lineage: Eukaryota; Metazoa; Chordata; Lepidosauria; Squamata; Natricidae
Exons: 2
Source: RefSeq, a predicted model, not a curated record
CAAAAACGUUAAAAGGAAAAAAAAAAAGCUCCACGUUGAUGAACCGUCGCUGCUGCUGACCCUGAAGCCUGACGGUGUGUUUGGGGCUCUUGUUCCCUGGAUUUUUCAGCAUGUCACCUCUGCUCUUGAGAAGUUUGUUGGCGGCAACAGCCAGAACAACCCAGUCCCUAAACUGCAGCUUGGCCUCCCGCUUAUUUUCUUCCUGGCUCCUGAGAUGCUCAAAUACGGUCACUCCCUUGCUUGGUCCACCUGCUAGCAAGGCGCCGAACGCCCAUCUUUUGCCUUUCCUCUCAUGCUGCCCACAUUACAAUUGGCAGCCUGUCGCUGGCAUGAAGUGCAAAGUGGCGAUCAAGAAGCGUUGCAAAGACUGUUACUUUGUUCGCAAAAAGGGCCAUUUGUAUAUAUACUGUAAAACUUUCCCGCGACAUAAACAGAGGAAGUUGUAAAACUGUCCUAACUGCACAUGGAAAACCCACGAGGCCAAUCAAGGGUUAACUCAUUGCACAAAAUAAAUACGUCUGGAGAUAAAGUUUUGUGCAAGACUUUGAUUUUAUAAGUAUGAAACCUGUCAGCAAAAUGGAAAUGAUUAUUUUUGGCUUUUUAGAUAUUGCUUAUUUUAAAAACAAUUUUGUAUGUUGUGUCAUCAUAAUUGCAAUAAGUAACUCUGCCGCCUUCCUGGACACUAUGUAAAAUUCUGUCAAAUGCAAAAUAUAAAUUCAAAGCAAUAUGUUCCA